Cheilinus undulatus (humphead wrasse) is the source of this 137-nucleotide small nucleolar RNA. RefSeq annotates it as small nucleolar RNA SNORA22. The transcript has a single exon. The record is from RefSeq and is a predicted model, not a curated record. NCBI's taxonomy places the organism in Eukaryota, Metazoa, Chordata, Actinopteri, Labriformes, Labridae.
GUGCACAGUGAACACCCAGAGAUGUUAAUGUGGCUCCCUCUGGUCUCUCAUGCCUGUGCUAAAGUGACUCUGGUCUUUUCCUCUGCACUAGAAGAGUUUUUGUCUCUUCUACGUGUAUUCAGCUGAUCAGAACAAAC